GGGGGCGUACCUCAGAUGGUAGAGCGCUCGCUUAGCACGCGAGAGGUACCGGGAUCGAUACCCGGCGCCUCCA
RNAcentral lists this transfer RNA (73 nucleotides) under Araneus ventricosus. It matches the Rfam family "tRNA". From Rfam's summary of the family: Transfer RNA (tRNA) molecules are approximately 80 nucleotides in length. Their secondary structure includes four short double-helical elements and three loops (D, anti-codon, and T loops). The record is from Rfam by way of RNAcentral. Lineage: Eukaryota; Metazoa; Arthropoda; Arachnida; Araneae; Araneidae.